Molecule: transfer RNA, 66 nt
Filed under: Euastacus yarraensis (Yarra cray)
Lineage: Eukaryota; Metazoa; Arthropoda; Malacostraca; Decapoda; Parastacidae
Description: tRNA-Ser
Source: RNAcentral
GGAGAUUUAUGCCAAAGAAAAAGCUUCUAACUUAUAUCUUAAGCGGUUAAAUUCCGUUAAUUUCUC